This is a non-coding RNA of Callorhinus ursinus (northern fur seal), 945 nucleotides long. The record is from RefSeq and is a predicted model, not a curated record. NCBI's taxonomy places the organism in Eukaryota, Metazoa, Chordata, Mammalia, Carnivora, Otariidae.
GCGAGCCUGUAUUUCCAAGCGUCGCCCUACCUCGCCCGCGAGCGCCUGGGCCGGGCUGCUGGUCACCCCGCGCGAACGAAGUGCCUGCCAGACGGAGAGGCUCAUUUCUGAGCACCGGAGCCACUGUUCACCCACAGAUCAACCACGCUUCAUGACAGACCGCUUCCGCUCCUCCAAAUUCACUUUCUACUUGUGAUACCGUCUCCACGUGGACUUCCUAUAAUUGCAGCAAGUGUGUAUCUACCGCCCGGUGUUCUUGUGACGAGUGCGUACCUACCGCCUGGUGUUCCUGCCCGGAGUGUGUAUCUACCACCUGGUGUUUUUGCAGCAACUGUGUAUCUACCACCCGCAUAACACCCUCCAGUUCCAUCCAUGUCAAUGCAAAUUACCAUCCGGUAUUCCUGCGGCAAGUGUGUAUCUACCCUCCGGUGUUCCUACGGCGAGUGUGUAUCUACUGCCCGGUGUUCCUGCGACAAAAAACCCCGUGCCCGAAACACGACGGAGCUUACUCACGAUGCUGCCCUACAACACGAAACAGUCUCAUCCCUAUAGUACCAGUGCACCUGCUUCUGAAAAUAAACCUACCGGGAAAGACUGCAAAACAGCAUUCUGACGUGCUCCCCUCACGAAAAUAGGCUUGUGGUUUCAUGCCUAAAAUUGGAGCUAAGUCACUAGGUGACUGUCCAGGGACGUCUCCCCCGAAUGGCCGAGACGCUCUUCCUUCUCUGACCGGCAAGAACUACAUGCAGACUCAAAAACUGCCUCCUGAGUGAGAUCAUUCAUCUAUUCCACAAAAUACUUGGAAUGUAUUGUGGCCAAUGGACCAUGCUUCCAGGCUGGGAGGGAUCCAAAGAUAAAUUCAAAGUAAAACCUGGGUUUAGCAGACUUGAAUUCUCACGUGUGGAACGGCGUUAAGCCAAGUCCACAGACACCUGUAAAGUUACA